Molecule: ribosomal RNA, 414 nt
Filed under: uncultured bacterium
Lineage: Bacteria
Description: bacterial SSU rRNA
Rfam family: Bacterial small subunit ribosomal RNA
Source: RNAcentral
UCGGGAAUAUUGCGCAAUGGAGGAAACUCUGACGCAGUGACGCCGCGUGCAGGAAGAAGGUUUUCGGAUUGUAAACUGCUUUAGACAGGGAAGAAAAAAGACAGUACCUGUAGAAUAAGCUCCGGCUAACUACGUGCCAGCAGCCGCGGUAAUACAUAGGGAGCGAGCGUUAUCCGGAUUUAUUGGGUGUAAAGGGUGCGUAGACGGGAAGAUAAGUUAGUUGUGAAAUCCCUCGGCUCAACUGAGGAACUGCAACUAAGCUGUCAUUCUUGAGUACUGGAGAGGAAAGUGGAAUUCCUAGUGUAGCGGUGAAAUGCGUAGAUAUUAGGAGGAACACCAGUGGCGAAGGCGACUUUCUGGACAGAAACUGACGUUGAGGCACGAAAGUGUGGGGAGCAAACAGGAUUAGAUACC